UCACAUGUUGAUGCCAGCUCACAAACA
This 27-nucleotide non-coding RNA is filed under the name Homo sapiens (human). The record is from RNAcentral. Lineage: Eukaryota; Metazoa; Chordata; Mammalia; Primates; Hominidae.